Sebastes umbrosus (honeycomb rockfish) is the source of this 2074-nucleotide long non-coding RNA. RefSeq lists it as uncharacterized. NCBI's taxonomy places the organism in Eukaryota, Metazoa, Chordata, Actinopteri, Perciformes, Sebastidae. The transcript is spliced from 3 exons. The record is from RefSeq and is a predicted model, not a curated record.
CCAGGGCCUGUUUACAGAUAAAACAAAGAUAAACAAUAUUAAUACAAGUCUACAGCUACAUGGUUUGAGCACGCGCACACUGUUUUUCUAUGUUACGUAUAUUCACACAGUGACGUCACAUGACAAUUUAACAACGUGACCUGUACGCAGAACACACCUGUGUGCUAUUACCUGUAAUCAGCAGCUAGCUGCUCUACCAGGUAACUAAAGCUGUAUGAUAAUGUUUGCGUGAAUUUUGGCGAAUAUGUGCUCGUGGUAAAGUGAAUAAACGGACGGACAGCAGCAGAGAAGUGUUAGUGAUAACGUUAGUUUACAUGUUGGUACUUGCUGUUAGCUGCUGUGGCUCGAGACUGCUCUCUGGAGAGCGAGCUACAAACUUUAGAGAGCCAGAGAGGUGGAGGCUCCGCUUUGUUCACACUCUUCUCCUGAACAAAUGAGAUAACCGCGACGAGACUAACACGAUUCAGCGCUCAGGAUUUCACCUUCAAGGGCCGCUUCAAGCAUCCAAAUAUUCACCCACAGUCCUCCAGAAGUGAGUACAGAAGGGAACAGGGAAGACUUGUCAAGCUCUCGUCGGCACAUCUCCUUCAGCUGUGGAAACAAACAAACAUAGACUGUUAAAGGCUGUUGGAGGGCAGAGACCGAGGACAGGAGCAGAGUCAGAGGCCCCAGAGACCGUGAGACUGCCAUGACAUGUGAUGAAGACAGAGAAAGGUAUUGGCAGACCUGAAGCUCGGGGCAAAGUCACACCCUCAACGCAACCUCUACGCAAGCACAUAAAUCACUCACUGCUACACCUACACAUUCAAGAAGACAGGACACAUUUGGAGGACAGCAUUGAACACACAUGGGAGCAGAGGGCAGCAGGUCUGUCCUUCACCUCAGAGGCAUUCUUCAUCCAACUCAAGAAAAUCAACAUCAAAGCUGGACUGACAUCGUUUUGACAUUGGAGGUUUGACACAGAUGAUAGAGGAAGCCCUGAAAAUGUUUUUUCCACCUUUUUGUAUUACAUGGACACAGGCCAAACAAUAACCAUACAGACAAGGAGAAUAUGGCACGGACAGAUUCAAUGACAAAGUGGUUAGAAGACACACUCAAAGAACAAUGUAAGAAACUAAAAGAUAUGCUGCCAUGCCAGGAGUCCGCAAGUUUUUAUUCCCACCAAAAAAUACAAAAAAAACAUUUUUGGUUGUUUUUUUUUGUGCCCCCCAAAGAGGUUCAGCCAGCACCAAAGGAAAAUCCUUUAUAAUAAAAUAAUAUAUUUUUUUAACCAGUUUUGUUAAUUAGGUAACUAAUAAUUUGUUAGUUCUUGUUUUAUUAUAAUACUAUGCAUUUCCUUUCUUUAUGAUCAUGAUUAUUUUAACAAAUUUCAGUCAUUUACUUACUUACACUUAUUAUUAUUAUUAUUAUUAUUAAUAAUAAAACUCAUAUUCUGUUUGUUUGUUUGGCUGUUUCCCCUUGCUUUUAUCUUAUUUUAUGAAUUUCUUUUUUCUUUCUUUCUUUUUCCUUUAUUGUUUUUCUUUUUCCUUUAUUGUUUUUCUUUCUCCUCACAUAAAAAUAUUACUUUUUGGAUUUAUGAGUUAUUUUGUAUCUUGGAGAACAAAGCAUAUGUAUGGUUUUGCUGAGUCAAUAAAUAAAAAGUUAUUAAAAAGAAAAAAAGAAAAAAGUUUUGUUUAUUGUGGUUUCAUUUACUCAAGCAUAAUAUACAUUUGUGUUUAUAAAAUGGUCAAUAACAGGAAAAUGCAUAGAUUUCUGUCAAAUAAUGUAACGCAGACUCAUGCUUACUGUUGUGCAUAGUCGCCCCCCCAAAGGCCCAUUCUGAGCCAGGAAAAACCUGCAGACUCUUGGCUCUCUCUCAUAAGAUGGACUGCUCAGUCACCGCCUGUCACAUUAAUAUUGCAUACUUCCUGCUAGUCUCCCUCUUUUUCACAAUAAUUCUGAUUAUUUGAGAAUUUGUGUUGCAGUAGUGCUGACGCUUUCCUCCCAUCUGUAACCCUGUGUGCCGCGUGAGAUUAAAAGAAAAAACAUAUAUUCAGCUAAUGUCUAAAAUAUAGACAUCAGGCUGAAAAGUGGC